GGAAUGUCACCUGUGUGUUUUCUCUGCAUGUCCUCUUCAUUCUUCUACUGAAGACUGGUCUCUACCAUGUGUGAGGGAGGAGGUUGGGUGUUAAGGGAAAACGGGG
MicroRNA precursor from Aotus nancymaae (Ma's night monkey), 106 nucleotides. NCBI's taxonomy places the organism in Eukaryota, Metazoa, Chordata, Mammalia, Primates, Aotidae. The record is from Ensembl.